AUGACAGAUUUAGUCCUCUCUCUCUCCCCAGGAGCAAAAGCAGACCUAAUUUCUUUCUCUCGAUUAGACUCUUGGUUUAGUCAUCCAUCAGCUAUAUGCGUGCUUGCUCUUCCUCUCUCACUCACCUGCAGGAUACUAUUUCAUGAAGCCCUCACACCAUCCAGUAAAGCUAUUUGUACAGAAACACAGAUAACCUCACUAGCAGAAUAGACUGAACUGACUUGAAGGUAUUCCAUGGAUCUCUAGUUAAGGCCUGGUAAGAGCUGAAAUGAAACAAGAAAACUAGAACCAGAAAAAGAAUGGAUUUGGAUAACAUCAGUUGCAGUUGAUUAAGCAAUUACAGUUUGUCUGAUGAAGAUGUAAAAGUGAUGGAGAAAACUGGAGUGAAUGUUAAAGCCCAAGUUCCAGGCUUGGUUCUGCAUUCAGUACAAAUCUGGCUACUUCAAAUGUUUACUGGAGUCAAUAGGAUUUCUUGAAUAAACUGGACUUUCUUAUUAGUACACUUGGAUUUAACAUUAACAAACUCGGAUACCUUUGGUAAGCUGCCUUUUCUUCCUAGGCUUUAGUCUGCUCAUCACUAAAAUAGCGUUAAGAAUAGUACAUAAGCUACUGUUGAACAGUGGAUUGAAGCUACAAUGAAAUUACUCAAUAAAUGUUAACUAUGUUACUAUCACCAUAAUGCCUGUUAUUAUUACCGUCUUUAACAUCCAUCAAAUAUCCUCUCAGAGAUUUCUGUCAUACAUUAAAAUUUAGAACAAGUCAGAAAAAUUCUUCUCUCAAAUUUAAAAGUUUUAAAUUGGUACUAUUUAUAUGUUUCCCAAACUAGAAAUAUGAACACAGUUUUCAAUUCCUUUUUCAUUCCUUUCCACAUAUAGAGGUCAUUCUUAUUGAAAUCUGUCUUCAAAAUCACUCUUGAAUCUUCCUGUACUAUUUUAUUUAGACUCCUAAUAUUAGAUGAUGAAUAUUCUCAGUCUUUAAGAAGCAAAUAACAAAAACCUCACCCUUGAUCUUCCAGCUGCCACACUAUGUAUCUGCUCCUCUUCACAACAAAUGUCCUAAAAAUGUCAUUUUUAAUCACCAGUUCUAUCGCCCACCUUCUAGUUUCUCUUGAACAAAUGACUCUCAUGCUCUUAUCUACCAUUCCACUGAAAUAGUUCUUAUCAGGGUCACCACAAUCUCCCUGAUGCAAAGUCUAAUGGCUAAUAUUCGGUUCUAAUCCUGACACACAGAAGGUGUUCAAUAACUUUUAGUUCAAUGAAAAACUUUUGUCAUUUGCUAUUACAAUUUUUGUGCUUACAGACUUGGAUCCUCCACUAGACCAUGGGUACCCAGAGGGUACAGACUAUGAUUUAUUUCAAAUUUAAGAAGCACAGUGCCUGGCACAAGUAUACACUCAAGAAAUGUUGCCUGAAAAAAACGGUUUUUUUAAAUAAUAAAGUUUCAUUUCAUUCAUACAUUAAAGUAUCACAUUAUUCUACAUAAACUUGCUGUCAAAUGUGCUUCCUCUCCCUUUCCAAAUCU
This 1521-nucleotide long non-coding RNA is filed under the name Callithrix jacchus (white-tufted-ear marmoset). RNAcentral describes it as "lncRNA (ENSCJAG00000086210.1)". The record is from RNAcentral. Lineage: Eukaryota; Metazoa; Chordata; Mammalia; Primates; Cebidae.